UAUAUAUGUGUGUGCGUGCGUGCGUGUGUGUGCUCAGAAACUUUGAUGAAAGAACACUGAGAGGGAGUGGCUGGAUGUUCAUAAGCUCGUUUUCUUUGGAUAAGAAAGUAGAAGAAUGAUUGUUUAAUUGAAAUGUGCCUGGAUGCUUGAGGAGGCUUUAAAUCCCUGGCUUUAGUAGGAAUUUGAAGAGAGCAUGUUCAAGAGUUCUUCAGUUCAGACUGAGGUGCUGGAAAACAAACCCUACUGCUGCUUUCCCAACCCUCAGGGAGCAGAACCUGUUGUCUGGAAAGCUGGAGUUACAAAAGACUGGAUGGUGAAGCCACAGGGUCUCGCUAGUACAAAAGGCUGGUUAAACCAUAACAAGAACAAGACUUUUUUGCUCAGGAACCAUAACAAGAGCAGGACUGCUCAGGAACAAACUACCACCUCCCUGUGAUGAGUGGUUGAAACUGCUUUGAAUUAAAUGUGUGUUGCUGGUGUUCUGCUGCAAGACUAUGUACAUGCUAUUGGAAAAUCAGAAUUUCAUAUAGAA
Molecule: long non-coding RNA, 532 nt
Filed under: Gallus gallus (chicken)
Lineage: Eukaryota; Metazoa; Chordata; Aves; Galliformes; Phasianidae
Description: lncRNA (ENSGALG00010023361.1)
Source: RNAcentral